AACGAACGCUGGCGGCAGGCUUAACACAUGCAAGUCGAACGGGUGCAGCAAUGCAUCAGUGGCAGACGGGUGAGUAACACGUGGGAACCUUCCUAGGGGUACGGAACAACUCAGGGAAACUUGAGCUAAUACCGUAUACGUCCGUGAGGAGAAAGAUUUAUCGCCCUUAGACGGGCCCGCGUCGGAUUAGCUAGUUGGUGGGGUAACGGCCUACCAAGGCGACGAUCCGUAGCUGAUCUUAGAGGAUGAUCAGCCACACUGGGACUGAGACACGGCCCAGACUCCUACGGGAGGCAGCAGUGGGGAAUCUUGGACAAUGGGCGCAAGCCUGAUCCAGCCAUGCCGCGUGAGUGAAGAAGGUCUUCGGAUUGUAAAGCUCUUUUGCCAGGGACGAUAAUGGCGGUACCUGGAGAAUAAGCCCCGGCAAACUUCGUGCCAGCCGCCGCAGUAA
This 451-nucleotide ribosomal RNA is filed under the name uncultured bacterium. Its description in RNAcentral is "partial 16S ribosomal RNA". It matches the Rfam family "Bacterial small subunit ribosomal RNA", at positions 29 to 523 of the family's 1533-position model. The record is from RNAcentral.